AUGGCACUGCUCCUUCAACUUUUGAAGAAUGCGCUGAGACAUCAGCUAGAUCCGCAGGUCUUGCUCCCCAAAAUCCAUCCCUUCUCUUCUUUGGUCCAAUCUGGACUGUUAAUUCCGUCAAGAGAUUUUGACAGGUUUGGGUCCAUCUAUAACAUGCUUGACCGGGCGAUCACGUGGCUACCGAGCACUCUUAUUUUCUGGUCAUAA
RNAcentral lists this ribosomal RNA (207 nucleotides) under Triticum aestivum (bread wheat). RNAcentral's name for it is "partial small subunit ribosomal RNA". Lineage: Eukaryota; Viridiplantae; Streptophyta; Magnoliopsida; Poales; Poaceae. The record is from RNAcentral.